AUUGAACGCUGGCGGAAUGCUUUACACAUGCAAGUCGAACGGUAGAGGGGGCAACCCCUUGAGAGUGGCGAACGGGUGAGUAAUAUAUCGGAACGUGCCCAGUCGUGGGGAUAACGUAGCGAAAGUUACGCUAAUACCGCAUACGAUCUAAGGAUGAAAGCGGGGGAUCGCAAGACCUCGCGCGAUUGGAGCGGCCGAUAUCAGAUUAGGUAGUUGGUGAGGUAAAGGCUCACCAAGCCAACGAUCUGUAGCUGGUCUGAGAGGACGACCAGCCACACUGGAACUGAGACACGGUCCAGACUCCUACGGGAGGCAGCAGUGGGGAAUUUUGGACAAUGGACGCAAGUCUGAUCCAGCCAUUCCGCGUGCAGGAUGAAGGCCUUCGG
RNAcentral lists this ribosomal RNA (386 nucleotides) under uncultured bacterium. RNAcentral's name for it is "bacterial SSU rRNA". It matches the Rfam family "Bacterial small subunit ribosomal RNA", at positions 30 to 421 of the family's 1533-position model. The record is from RNAcentral.